AGAGUUUGAUCAUGGCUCAGGAUGAACGCUAGCGGCAGGCUUAAUACAUGCAAGUCGUGGGGCAGCAUGGUGUAGCAAUACACUGAUGGCGACCGGCAAACGGGUGCGGAACACGUACGCAACCUUCCUUUAACUGGAGAAUAGCCCGGGGAAACCCGGAUUAAUACUCCGUAACAUUAUGAAGUGGCAUCACUUUAUAAUUAUAGCUCCGGCGGUUAAAGAUGGGCGUGCGCCUGAUUAGGUAGUUGGCGGGGUAACGGCCCACCAAGCCUACGAUCAGUAACUGGUGUGAGAGCACGACCAGUCACACGGGCACUGAGACACGGGCCCGACUCCUACGGGAGGCAGCAGUAAGGAAUAUUGGUCAAUGGACGCAAGUCUGAACCAGCCAUGCCGCGUGGAGGAUGAAGGUCCUCUGGAUUGUAAACUUCUUUUAUUUGGGAAGAAACCCCCGAUUUCUAUUGGGGUUGACGGUACCAGAUGAAUAAGCACCGGCUAACUCCGUGCCAGCAGCCGCGGUAAUACGGAGGGUGCAAGCGUUAUCCGGAUUCACUGGGUUUAAAGGGUGCGUAGGCGGGUUGGUAAGUCCGUGGUGAAAUCUCCAAGCUUAACUUGGAAACUGCCGUGGAUACUAUCAAUCUUGAAUUUAGUGGAGGUGAGCGGAAUAUGUCAUGUAGCGGUGAAAUGCUUAGAUAUGACAUAGAACACCCAUUGCGAAGGCAGCUCGCUACACUAUUAUUGACGCUGAGGCACGAAAGCGUGGGGAUCAAACAGGAUUAGAUACCCCCGUAGUCC
Molecule: ribosomal RNA, 795 nt
Filed under: uncultured bacterium
Lineage: Bacteria
Description: bacterial SSU rRNA
Rfam family: Bacterial small subunit ribosomal RNA
Source: RNAcentral